UCUUCCCUCACUUUCCAUGGCAUUUCCCAGCAUGGGGGCGGUAGGAGGUAAAUGCUCUGGCAAAGACCGGUCCGGAAGUGGCUGCUUCUACUCUCUUACCCCAACGGUCAUUUGACUCUGCUGUUCUUGGAUGAAGGCAAUUUCUGCAGGAAGCUGGAGCGCGUGCACCACUGGAGUGGCGUCCCCCAGGGUUGAAUGUAACAGCUGAUGAGUGCGAUCCUUGCUCAUCCUUGUUUCUUUGUAGGUGACUUUUCUCCCUCUCCAGCAGCUUCCGGAACUUUCUCUCCGUCCCCGGGAUUCUGGAAUUUCACGGCGCAGGAGAGCAGGACUUUCUUAAAGCCCGUGGCUGGUGUCAAAGACUGAAAGCUGAACCUUCCGGGUCUCUGAAGGCUUGGCCCAGAACUGGCAAGAGUGUCCCUUCUAGCACUUUCUACUGGUCACGGCAAGUCAUGCCAUUAGCUCAGAUGCAAGGGGAGGGAA
This 480-nucleotide long non-coding RNA is filed under the name Mustela putorius furo (domestic ferret). RNAcentral's name for it is "lncRNA (ENSMPUG00000031755.1)". The record is from RNAcentral. Lineage: Eukaryota; Metazoa; Chordata; Mammalia; Carnivora; Mustelidae.